CAAAAUGUGAUGCAUUUUCCCGUGCUAAUUUCAAACCGCUAUGCUACUACAGCUAGCUAAACAUGGCUGACAGGGUUGGGGUGGGUUGUAACACAUCUUUAAAAAGUGUUACAACCAUCCCCUUACAUACACCUAAGAACAUUUUCAUUUUAAUAAUUUUACAGAAUGCCUAGGCAGUGGAUACGAAAGACUGAUAGAGGUGUGCCUGCAGAUGUUUUAAAAAAGGCAUCUGAUGAGGUCACAAAGAAGAGCAAGUCAGUCAGAUCGGUUGCAAAGGCGCAUGGCAUCUGCCAUGUAACACUGAGCAGAUACUGCAAAUCACUGCAGAAGCUGAGAGAACAGGGGUCCAGUGAUCUUCCCAGUGUUGGUUAUUGGAGUAGCAACAAAGUCUUCUCUGAGGUGCAGGAGGAAGUGUUGGCUGACUAUUUGACUCAGGCAGCAGACCUGUAUUACGGACUGACUCCACGUGAGGUCAGAAAGUUUGCAUAUCAGCUGGCAGUAGCAUAUUACAUCAAACACCCACAAACAUGGUAUGAGAAGCAGAUGGCAGGGCCUGACUGGUUCACAUUAUUUAUGAAGCGGAACCCUAGCCUGUCAAUAAGGAGUCCUGAGGCAACCAGCCUUACACGGGCCACAAGUUUUAACCGCCAAAAUGUGGAACGUUUCUUCAACAGCCUUGGACAGGUCAUUGAGAGAUACAACUUCGACGGGAGCGAUAUAUGGAAUGUAGAUGAAACUGGUGUAACAACAGUCCAAUCACCAGACCGUGUUGUUGCUCGUCGUGGUGUCAAGCAGGUGGGUGCGAUGACAUCAGGUGAGAGAGGUGUGCUCGUGUCAGUAGCAUGCGCUGUGCAAGCGCUGGGAAAUGCAAUUCCUCCCUUCUUUGUAUUCCCCCGUAAACGUUACAARGAACUCUUYAUUCAGAGUGGGCCAACAGGGAGUGCAGGAAGUGGUAACGYCUCAGGAUGGAUGCAAGAGGAAGACUUCCUCUUAUUCCUUGCUCAUUUUGCAAAACACACAAAGGUCAGCCCAGAGAAAAAGGUUUUACUUUUGCUGGAUAAUCACUGUUCACAUAUAUCUGUUAAAGCUAUUGAUUUCUGCAAAGAAAAGGGAAUAGUGCUACUUACCUUCCCCCCCCCACUGUAGCCAUAAACUUCAGCCACUGGAUCGCAGUGUCUACGGCCCAUUUAAGAAAAUGGUGAACGCCGCAAGUGAUGCAUGGAUGAAGAUGAAUCCUGCCAAGACGAUGACUAUAUAUGAUAUUCCAAGUAUUGUGAAGACUGCUCUGCCUGCAGCUGCAACACCGAAAAACAUUCAAGCCGGUUUCCAAUCCACAGGUACAUCACUGACAUCUGGAGCUUUCCAGCCACAGUCUCCACCAACUCAUCUGGGGACAGCCUCCUCUCCUCCAACUCACCUGGGGAUUGCCUCCUCUCCUCACCUGGGGAUUGCCUCCUCUCCUCACCUGGGGACAGCCUCCUCUCCUCCAACUCAUCUGGGGACAGCCUCCUCUCCUCACCUGGGGACAGCCUCCUCUCCUCCAACUCACCUGGAGACUACUACUUCUGGUUCCUCUGCAGUUAUUGAUGUGA
Molecule: non-coding RNA, 1592 nt
Organism: Poecilia reticulata (guppy)
Lineage: Eukaryota; Metazoa; Chordata; Actinopteri; Cyprinodontiformes; Poeciliidae
Source: RefSeq, a predicted model, not a curated record